AUAUUGUCUUUGAUAGUGGGGAGGUCAUUGAUGGAAAGAGUAAGAGAAGCGGGCCAAGAUGACCUUGAGGAAAACCGGAAUGAGCGAGAGUUGUUAGUUAUUGUCUGGGCUCUAGGCCCUUUACUUUUGCUGAAUCAGAUAGAGACACGAAUGCAAAUCAUGCAAUCAAUGCAAUGCAAUCAAACAAUGGAAGGCCUUCAUCGAUGAACACAACGCAGAAGUGUUCUACAAACCAGGCAAA
Non-coding RNA from Drosophila virilis, 241 nucleotides. Lineage: Eukaryota; Metazoa; Arthropoda; Insecta; Diptera; Drosophilidae. The record is from RefSeq and is a predicted model, not a curated record.